CUACGGGAGGCAGCAGUGGGGAAUAUUGGACAAUGGGCGCAAGCCUGAUGCAGCAACGCCGCGUGAGGGAUGACGGCCUUCGSGUUGUAAACCUCUUUUAGCAGGGAAGAAGCGAAAGUGACGAUACCUGCAGAGAAAGCGCUGGCUAACUUCGUGCCAGCAGCCGCGGUAAU
This 173-nucleotide ribosomal RNA is filed under the name uncultured bacterium. RNAcentral describes it as "partial 16S ribosomal RNA". It matches the Rfam family "Bacterial small subunit ribosomal RNA", at positions 339 to 524 of the family's 1533-position model. The record is from RNAcentral.